GAUGAACGCUGGCGGCGUGCCUAAUACAUGCAAGUCGAGCGGACGGACGAGAAGCUUGCUUCUCUGAUGUUAGCGGCGGACGGGUGAGUAACACGUGGAUAACCUACCUAUAAGACUGGGAUAACUUCGGGAAACCGGCGCUAAUACCGGAUGAUAUUUUGCACCGAAUGGGUCAAAGGAGAGAUACGGUCUUGCUGUCACUUCUAGAUGCAUCCGCGCUGCAUUAGCUAGUUGGUAAGGUAACGGCCUACCAAGGCAACAAUGCAUAGCCGACCUGAGAGGCUGAUAGCCGACAUGAGAACUGAGACGCGGCCCAUACUCCUACGAGAGGCAGCAGUAGGGAAUCUUCCGCACUGGGCGAGAGCCUGACGGAGCAACGCCGCGUGAGUGAUGAAGGUCUUCCGAUCGUAAAACUCUGUUAUUAGGGAAGAACAUAUUUGGAAGGAACUGUGGACAGCUUGACGGUACCGACUCAGAAAGCCCCGGCUAACUACGUG
This 497-nucleotide ribosomal RNA is filed under the name uncultured bacterium. RNAcentral describes it as "partial 16S ribosomal RNA". It matches the Rfam family "Bacterial small subunit ribosomal RNA", at positions 28 to 507 of the family's 1533-position model. The record is from RNAcentral.